GACAGAGGGUGCAAACGUUGCUCGGAAUUACUGGGCGUAAAGCGCGUGUAGGCGGUGCCGCACGUCCGAUGUGAAAGCCCAGGGCUCAACCCUGGAAGUGCAUUGGAUACGACGGCGCUGGAGUCCUGAAGAGGAGAGCGGAAUUCCCGGUGUAGAGGUGAAAUUCGUAGAUAUCGGGAGGAACACCAGUGGCGAAGGCGGCUCUCUGGACAGGUACUGACGCUGAGACGCGAAAGCGUGGGUAGCAAACAGG
Molecule: ribosomal RNA, 253 nt
Filed under: uncultured bacterium
Lineage: Bacteria
Description: partial 16S ribosomal RNA
Rfam family: Bacterial small subunit ribosomal RNA
Source: RNAcentral